This is a long non-coding RNA of Glossina fuscipes, 744 nucleotides long. RefSeq lists it as uncharacterized. The record is from RefSeq and is a predicted model, not a curated record. Lineage: Eukaryota; Metazoa; Arthropoda; Insecta; Diptera; Glossinidae. The transcript is spliced from 3 exons.
CGUAUCGAACAAUAAACAGUCGUCACUCUGCUGGAUAUGAUGAUUUUAUCAGGCCAAACCCAACCUACUGAGCAAACCGACAAAAAAUAGAGGAGCAUCAGGAUCGACGCAGAAGGGCUCUGCAGGACGCUUUAAAUUCUCUUAUAAAUGUCGUAAUAACGGCGUGCCGUUAUUUUGAUAUCGUGUGAUUGCAAAAACAGCGGCUUACCGCUAUGCACAGAAGAAAAAAGAUCGAGCGAGAAAAAACGAUUUUUUUGAGAGAGGGUUUUGGCUUGAGAGUUCGGUGGUGGUGGUUUUUGUGUUUUUGGCAUUUCCUUUUCUUCAGCAGACCUCAGGAGAGGAAAGUGCGCACGCAGAGAGAAAAGAGAAGUUAUUCGUGAAAAGAUCUGAAGAAAAAAAAUUUUCUAAAAAAAAUGAUAUGUAAAUUUAUUGAAAAUUGUGCAAAAAUUUAAUUGUUUGACAAUUUGUAAAAUAUCAAAUCUAUAUAGAAGUCUUUAAAAAUCGGUCCAAAAGCGCAAAUGGAGAAUCAGUUUUAAUGCAGGAAUAGUGCAAGGAAGAAAAACCAAAAAUUUUCAUGUCUUUGGUGAAAUACGUAUAUGCGAGCGAACCAAAUCAAAUGAUUUUAUGAUAUAUGGCACAUGUUUUGUAUAAAAGGAAACUUGGUGUCGCUCUUUUGUUUUUGAAAAGAAAAUAUUAAUAAACAAAAAUUAUGUAAAUUGUAUUUUAUUGAAGAGAGUGCUAUUU